AGCUCUGUGGUGAACUGUCACAUUGGAUUGCAAAUUCAAAGAAGCAGCUUCAACGCUGCCGGGGCUUC
RNAcentral lists this transfer RNA (68 nucleotides) under Parahyaena brunnea. RNAcentral describes it as "tRNA-Cys". It matches the Rfam family "tRNA". From Rfam's summary of the family: Transfer RNA (tRNA) molecules are approximately 80 nucleotides in length. Their secondary structure includes four short double-helical elements and three loops (D, anti-codon, and T loops). The record is from RNAcentral. Lineage: Eukaryota; Metazoa; Chordata; Mammalia; Carnivora; Hyaenidae.